Molecule: ribosomal RNA, 644 nt
Filed under: Staphylococcus aureus
Lineage: Bacteria; Bacillati; Bacillota; Bacilli; Caryophanales; Staphylococcaceae
Description: bacterial SSU rRNA
Rfam family: Bacterial small subunit ribosomal RNA
Source: RNAcentral
UUUGAACCGCAUGGUUCAAAAGUGAAAGACGGUCUUGCUGUCACUUAUAGAUGGAUCCGCGCUGCAUUAGCUAGUUGGUAAGGUAACGGCUUACCAAGGCAACGAUGCAUAGCCGACCUGAGAGGGUGAUCGGCCACACUGGAACUGAGACACGGUCCAGACUCCUACGGGAGGCAGCAGUAGGGAAUCUUCCGCAAUGGGCGAAAGCCUGACGGAGCAACGCCGCGUGAGUGAUGAAGGUCUUCGGAUCGUAAAACUCUGUUAUUAGGGAAGAACAUAUGUGUAAGUAACUGUGCACAUCUUGACGGUACCUAAUCAGAAAGCCACGGCUAACUACGUGCCAGCAGCCGCGGUAAUACGUAGGUGGCAAGCGUUAUCCGGAAUUAUUGGGCGUAAAGCGCGCGUAGGCGGUUUUUUAAGUCUGAUGUGAAAGCCCACGGCUCAACCGUGGAGGGUCAUUGGAAACUGGAAAACUUGAGUGCAGAAGAGGAAAGUGGAAUUCCAUGUGUAGCGGUGAAAUGCGCAGAGAUAUGGAGGAACACCAGUGGCGAAGGCGACUUUCUGGUCUGUAACUGACGCUGAUGUGCGAAAGCGUGGGGAUCAAACAGGAUUAGAUACCCUGGUAGUCCACGCCGUAAACGAUG